GAUGAACGCUGGCGGCGUGCCUAAUACAUGCAAGUCGAGCGAACAGACGAGGAGCUUACUCCUCUGACGUUAGCGGCGGACGGGUGAGUAACACGUGGAUAACCUACCUAUAAGACUGGGAUAACUUCGGGAAACCGGAGCUAAUACCGGAUAACAUGUUGAACCGCAUGGUUCAACAGUGAAAGACGGUCUUGCUUUCACUUAUAGAUGGAUCCGCGUCGGAUUACCUAGUUGGUAAGGUAACGGCUUACCAAGGCAACGAUGCGUAGCCGACCUGAGAGGGUGAUCGGCCACACGGGAACUGAGACACGGUCCACACUCCUACGGGAGGCAGCAGUAGGGAAUCUUCCGCAAUGGGCGAAAGCCUGACGGAGCAACGCCGCGUGAGUGAAGAAGGUCUUCGGAUCGUAAAACUCUGUUAUUAGGGAAGAACAAAUGUGUAAGUAACUAUGCACGUCUUGACGGUACCUAAUCAGAAAGCCACGGCUAACUACGUG
This 497-nucleotide ribosomal RNA is filed under the name uncultured bacterium. RNAcentral's name for it is "partial 16S ribosomal RNA". It matches the Rfam family "Bacterial small subunit ribosomal RNA", at positions 28 to 507 of the family's 1533-position model. The record is from RNAcentral.